This 1102-nucleotide non-coding RNA is filed under the name Tepuihyla edelcae (white-lipped bog-frog). RNAcentral's name for it is "partial 12S ribosomal RNA". The stretch from base 1 to 915 matches the Rfam family "Bacterial small subunit ribosomal RNA". The record is from RNAcentral. Lineage: Eukaryota; Metazoa; Chordata; Amphibia; Anura; Hylidae.
CAAUUAUUACUUAAUAUACACAUGCAAGUCUCCGCACCCCUGUGAAAACGCCCUUAAAUCCCCACUAGGGAUAAGGAGCUGGUAUCAGGCACAAUAUUUAGCCCAAAACACCUAGCUAUGCCACACCCACACGGGAAUUCAGCAGUGAUUAACAUUGAAAAUAAGCGACAGCUUGACUCAGUUAAAGUAAAAAGAGCCGGCAAAUCUGGUGCCAGCCGCCGCGGUUACACCACGUGGCUCAAAUUGACCCCCCUUCGGCGUAAAGCGUGAUUAAAGUUUUUACUAAAUUAUAGCUGAACUAAAACUAAGCUGUGACACGCUUGUAUUUAGGAAAAUCAAAAACGAAAGUUACUGUAAUUAAAACAACUUGAACCCACGACAGUUGAAACACAAACUGGGAUUAGAUACCCCACUAUGCUCAACCGUAAACUUUAAAUUACACCAAUAUCGCCCGGGAACUACGAGCAAAGCUUAAAACCCAAAGGACUUGACGGUACCCCACAUCCCCCUAGAGGAGCCUGUCCUGUAAUCGACAACCCCCGUUCAACCUCACCAUUUUUAGCCUAUCAGCCUGUAUACCUCCGUCGUCAGCUUACCACGUGAGCGACCCUAAGUGAGCCUAAUGCCCACACGCCAACACGUCAGGUCAAGGUGCAGCAAAUAAAAUGGGAAGAGAUGGGCUACACUCUCUACUGUAGAAAAUACGAAAGACUAUUUAUGAAACCUAGUCAGAAGGCGGAUUUAGUAGUAAAAAGAGACAAGAGCGCUCUUUUUAACACGGCACUGGGGUGUGUACACACCGCCCGUCACCCUCUUCAAAGCUAACAGAAAGUCCAUAACACACCUAAGCACAAUAGAAGAGGCAAGUCGUAACAUGGUAAGUAUACCGGAAGGUGUGCUUGGAAACAAAAUAUAGCUUAACCAAAGCAUCUCGCUUCCACGAGAAAAUAUCUGUUAAACCCGGAUUAUUUUGAGCUAAUAAUCUAGCCCCCAAUAUCAAAUGAAACCAUUGACUUUAUAACAUAAACUAAAACAUUUUAUAAACUUAGUAAAGGCGAUUAAAAAAUUGAUAGGAGCAAUAAAAAAGGUACCGCAAGGGAAA